UCCGGUUUAACACCGGCAGUCUCUUUAGAGUCCCCAACUUAAUGAUGGUAACUAAAGAUAAGGGUUGCGCUCGUUAUUGGACUUAACCAAACAUCUUACGACACGAGCUGACGACAGCCAUGCAGCACCUGUGUGCAGGUCACCGAAGUGACGCUUACAUCUCUGCAAGCUUCCUGCCAUGUCAAGGGUAGGUAAGGUUCUGCGCGUUGCUUCGAAUUAAACCACAUACUCCACCGCUUGUGCGGGCCCCCGUCAAUUCCUUUGAGUUUUAGCCUUGCGACCGUACUUCCCAGGCGGGAUACUUAACGCGUUAGCUGUAGUACUCAGGGGGUUAACUCCCCAAACACCUAGUAUCCAUAGUUUACAGCGUGGACUAC
Molecule: unclassified non-coding RNA, 377 nt
Filed under: uncultured Oligoflexaceae bacterium
Lineage: Bacteria; Pseudomonadati; Bdellovibrionota; Oligoflexia; Oligoflexales; Oligoflexaceae
Description: contains 16S-23S intergenic spacer region
Source: RNAcentral